UCUCCCCACCUUGAGUCCCAACUCCCAACCUCAGAUAACGUCAGUGCUUGACUUGGGCAGGAGCUAAGUACCGGCACCUCAAAUGUUCUAUUGCUUGAGCUCAUGUUCCUCUUACAGAAUAUUAGCUCAAAAGUAUUGUGGAGCUCCUGCACCUAAAUAUAAACAGUAACGGCACCCAACUAGAGUACAUAGCGUGUUUUCCUUUGAGAUGGGUAUCGACAUUGCAUUACUCCUACAUCUACAUCUGAUUUUAGACUAGACUACAUUGACAACUAAACAAUCACACUGUCACAUAAUUAUUCUACCAGUAUCAUUCAUAUUCAUAUAGUAUGAAAUCCAUCAGCCAAUAGAGCAUUUGUCUCUGUAUCAAUUUACAUAUGCAUUGUCACAACAUGUGGCAUGAAUUCCCUGUACUGUAUUCCUAUUCAAAUUCAAUCAAACCAUGAUUAUUACCAAAGCCACCUUAUUGCCAUGCUGCUAUAUGCAGGUUUGUGGCUUAGCUCCCUUUAAGCAAAUAUUUAUCCCAGCCAAGAUGACUGUAUUGCAGUUUGUGAUUAUAUAUGGGCUUGUGAGAGGAGUGUGUCAACUGUGCAUGAUACACAAUGUGCCUGGAGAGAUUGAUAUUUUGUCAUCCACCUGCUUCAAAGCUGUAAAACCCAGCAGGCAGCAGCAAACGGAGAGACCUUCCGAGGCUGGAAAACCCAAACAAAGAGAGACCUUACUGGUGCUGUUUACACAUCUUUGUGGAGGAGUAUGUGGGCUUGUGUGUUUUGAUGCCACGCUCAAAUGGCUGAAGGGUUCCUGUCUCAGUGAAACGGGCUGGACUGGGCCACAGCACCUGAGCUGGGAGGACUGGGAGAAGAGAUGGUAGAGGGCAGCUCCACAGACUGGAGGAGUGCAAACAGGCCUCAAACAGGUAGGGAGCCGUGCCAAGUCUCCUUGCCAGUGUCCGUCGUGCCCGCUAACGUUCAUCGUCUGUCGGUUU
This 985-nucleotide long non-coding RNA is filed under the name Oncorhynchus kisutch (coho salmon). Its description in RNAcentral is "lncRNA (ENSOKIG00005041228.1)". Lineage: Eukaryota; Metazoa; Chordata; Actinopteri; Salmoniformes; Salmonidae. The record is from RNAcentral.